AGAGUUUGAUCCUGGCUCAGGACGAACGCCGGCGGCGCGCUUAACACAUGCAAGUCGAGCGAUGAAAUUUUGACAGAUCCCUUCGGGGUGAAGAUAAAAUGGAUUAGCGGCGGACGGGUGAGUAACACGUGAGUAACCUGCCUUAGACAUUGGGAUAGCCUCGGGAAACCGGGAUUAAUACCGAAUAAAAUCACAGAUACACAUGUAUCCAUGAUCAAAACUCCGGUGGUCUAAGAUGGACUCGCGUCCCAUUAGCUAGUUGGUGAGGUAACGGCCCACCAAGGCGACGAUGGGUAGCCGGCCUGAGAGGGUGAACGGCCACAUUGGAACUGAGAAACGGUCCAAACUCCUACGGGAGGCAGCAGUGGGGAAUAUCGCACAAUGGAGGGAACUCUGAUGCAGCGACGCCGCGUGAACGAAGAAGGCUUUCGAGUCGUAAAGUUCUUUUAUAUGGGAAGAUAAUGACGGUACCAUAAGAAAAAGCCCCGGCUAACUACGUGCCAGCAGCCGCGGUAAUACGUAGGGGGCUAGCGUUGUCCGGAAUCACUGGGCGUAAAGGGUUCGCAGGCGGAAAUGCAAGUCAGAUGUAAAAGGCAGUAGCUUAACUACUGUAAGCAUUUGAAACUGCAUAUCUUGAGAAGAGUAGAGGUAAGUGGAAUUUUUAGUGUAGCGGUGAAAUGCGUAGAUAUUAAAAAGAAUACCGGUGGCGAAGGCGACUUACUGGGCUCAUUCUGACGCUGAGGAACGAAAGCGUGGGUAGCAAACAGGAUUAGAUACCCUGGUAGUCCACGCUGUAAACGAUGAGUGCUAGGUGUCGGCUUAAGUCGGUGCCGCAGUUAACACAAUAAGCACUCCGCCUGGGGAGUACGUGCGCAAGCAUGAAACUCAAAGGAAUUGACGG
RNAcentral lists this ribosomal RNA (901 nucleotides) under uncultured bacterium. RNAcentral describes it as "bacterial SSU rRNA". It matches the Rfam family "Bacterial small subunit ribosomal RNA", at positions 8 to 916 of the family's 1533-position model. The record is from RNAcentral.